This 72-nucleotide transfer RNA is filed under the name Acanthaster planci (crown-of-thorns starfish). RNAcentral describes it as "tRNA-Met". It matches the Rfam family "tRNA". From Rfam's summary of the family: Transfer RNA (tRNA) molecules are approximately 80 nucleotides in length. Their secondary structure includes four short double-helical elements and three loops (D, anti-codon, and T loops). Lineage: Eukaryota; Metazoa; Echinodermata; Asteroidea; Valvatida; Acanthasteridae. The record is from Rfam by way of RNAcentral.
UGUAGGGUGGAGCAGUGGUAGCUCGUCAGGCUCAUAACCUGAAGGUCAUUGGUUCGAUUCCAGUCCCUACAA